RNAcentral lists this ribosomal RNA (253 nucleotides) under uncultured bacterium. RNAcentral's name for it is "partial 16S ribosomal RNA". It matches the Rfam family "Bacterial small subunit ribosomal RNA", at positions 524 to 776 of the family's 1533-position model. The record is from RNAcentral.
UACGUAGGGUGCAAGCGUUAAUCGGAAUUACUGGGCGUAAAGUGUGCGCAGGCGGCUUUGCAAGACAGAUGUGAAAUCCCCGGGCUUAACCUGGGAACUGCAUUUGUGACUGCAUGGCUGGAGUGCGGCAGAGGGGGAUGGAGUUCCGCGUGUAGCAGUGAAAUGCGUAGAUAUGCGGAGGAACACCGAUGGCGAAGGCAAUCCCCUGGGCCUGCACUGACGCUCAUGCACGAAAGCGUGGGGAGCAAACAGG